Molecule: ribosomal RNA, 486 nt
Filed under: uncultured bacterium
Lineage: Bacteria
Description: bacterial SSU rRNA
Rfam family: Bacterial small subunit ribosomal RNA
Source: RNAcentral
CGGCCGCAAGGUUGAAACUCAAAGGAAUUGACGGGGGCCCGCACAAGCAGCGGAGCGUGUGGUUUAAUUCGAUGCUACACGAAGAACCUUACCUGGGUUUGACAUAUACGUGGUAGAGAACGGAAACGGGAUCGACCCUUCGGGGAGCGUAUACAGGUGCUGCAUGGCUGUCGUCAGCUCGUGUCGUGAGAUGUCCGGUUAAGUCCGGUAACGAGCGCAACCCCUGCUGUAUGUUACAUGUGUCAUACGGGACUGCCGGUAUCAAGCCGGAGGAAGGUGGGGAUGAUGUCAAGUCAGCAUGGCCUUUAUAUCCAGGGCUACACACACGCUACAAUGGCCAAUACAAUGGGUUUGCAAGAUCGCAAGGUGGAGCCAAUCCUCAAAAUUGGUCUCAGUUCAGAUUGCAGGCUGCAACCCGCCUGCAUGAAGUCGGAGUUGCUAGUAACCGCGCGUCAGCAUUAGUGCGGUGAAUACGUUCCCGGGCCU